CAAUAGCGUAUAUUAAAGUUGUUGCGGUAAAAAAGCUCGUAGUUGGAUUUCUGUUGAGAGCGACCGGUCCAUACCAUGUAUGCGUAUCUGGCUUGCUCUCGGCAUCCUCUCGAUAGACGUUACUGCGCUUGAUUGCGUGGUGUGGAUCUCGGGACUUUUACUUUGAGGAAAUUAGAGUGUUCACGGCAGGCUUUCGCCAGAAUACAUUAGCAUGGAAUAAUACUAUAGGAUCUUGGUUCUAUUUUGUUGGUUUCUAGAAUUGAGAUAAUGAUUAAUAGGGACAAUUGGGGGCAUUCGUAUCAACACGUCAGAGGUGGAAUUCUUGGAUUGUGUUGCGACGAACUACUGCGAAAGCAUUUGCCAAGGAUGUUUUCAUUGA
Molecule: ribosomal RNA, 379 nt
Filed under: uncultured eukaryote
Lineage: Eukaryota
Description: partial 18S ribosomal RNA
Rfam family: Eukaryotic small subunit ribosomal RNA
Source: RNAcentral